AGUUAAGUGGCCGAAUAAUUUAGGUGUAUGAUUUUUAAUCAUAUUAUGAGCAAUGUUUCUUAGCUG
Molecule: non-coding RNA, 66 nt
Organism: Fragariocoptes setiger
Lineage: Eukaryota; Metazoa; Arthropoda; Arachnida; Trombidiformes; Phytoptidae
Source: the annotation of a GenBank genome assembly